This 384-nucleotide ribosomal RNA is filed under the name uncultured bacterium. RNAcentral describes it as "bacterial SSU rRNA". It matches the Rfam family "Bacterial small subunit ribosomal RNA", at positions 42 to 450 of the family's 1533-position model. The record is from RNAcentral.
UCAGGCCUAACACAUGCAAGUCGAGCGCUCACCUUCGGGUGGGAGCGGCGCACGGGUGAGUAACACGUGGGAACCUACCUUGAAGUACGGAAUAACUGAGGGAAACUUCAGCUAAUACCGUAUACGCCCUACGGGGGAAAGAUUUAUCGCUUCAAGACGGGCCCGCGUUGGAUUAGCUAGUUGGUGAGGUAAUGGCUCACCAAGGCAACGAUCCAUAGCUGAUUUGAGAGAAUGAUCAGCCACACUGGGACUGAGACACGGCCCAGACUCCUACGGGAGGCAGCAGUGGGGAAUAUUGGACAAGGGGCGCAAGCCUGAUCCAGCCAUGCCGCGUGAGUGAAGAGAGGCCUUCGGGUUGUAAAGCUCUUCAGAUGGACGAUGAUG